Tripterygium wilfordii is the source of this 853-nucleotide long non-coding RNA. RefSeq lists it as uncharacterized. The transcript has 2 exons. The record is from RefSeq and is a predicted model, not a curated record. Lineage: Eukaryota; Viridiplantae; Streptophyta; Magnoliopsida; Celastrales; Celastraceae.
UUAAAUUGUGUACACAUCAUUGGAGUUUAUAGACUAAUGCACUCACACCGGAAGGCUGGUUGGUAGAUUCACCACGUAUCUGGAUGUGGGAUUCUAAUGUGACUGCUUUAUAACAACAUUUGGCAGUAGCACCUGAGGCUGUUAUUUGACUGCUGAACCCUUCUGGACUUUCGACGCCUAGCGGCAUCAGGAUUAUCAAUAGCUUAGGAGGUGCUGCAAUUGUGAGCUUCCCGCUGAACGAUUUUAUUGCAGAAACAUGUCGCGAUCUAGAACGCCAACUUCUUCGCAGUGCUGCAUAUGUGUUGAUGCAUUACAGAUUCUGGUGUUUCCUUGGGGAGCGAACUCUCCAAGUUUGCAUGCACUUGAGUAGGCUGCUCAAUGGAUUGGAGAAUCAGCCUGCGGGACUGGUAAUUCAUCUAUUGAGAAAUUAUUGAUGCCUGCCAUCAGUAAAUGCAGGAAUCAGGAAACAUUGUUCCAGAAAUCAGACGAGGUUUUAUUAGUAAUCCAUUCCUGUCUCUUGGUAGAGACUUGGGUUGGGUCACCAGGGUCAGAGUUUGGGCCUGGCAAACUGUAGUGGCUUUUCCUUAUUGACAAAGCCAAGGCCUUGAUGGAUGUGCCUGCAAGCUUGCAGGUUUAAUUAUUGGGCGCCGACAACUUAUGGCUACAAGGAUCAAUGUACUGGGUUAAGGAAUUACAAUUUAUGGCCUUAUUUUUCUUUUUCUAACUUUAGUCUCUCUCACUUUUGCUCUUGGGAGUCGGGAAAAAACAGAAAGGAAAAGGAAAAGCAGACGCGUAGGGAAUGGAUCAUAGUAUCAUGUAAAGUCUCUUUCUUGCUUAGGGACGUGCUUUAUUA